Frankliniella occidentalis (western flower thrips) is the source of this 640-nucleotide long non-coding RNA. RefSeq lists it as uncharacterized. The record is from RefSeq and is a predicted model, not a curated record. The transcript has 3 exons. Lineage: Eukaryota; Metazoa; Arthropoda; Insecta; Thysanoptera; Thripidae.
ACCCGAGCCCGAGCAGCGCCAGUCGUCCGCGCGCCGCCGUGCCCCCCGCCCGCACCGUGCGCUGCGCUGCGUGCCGCCCGGCCCGGCUCCCUCCCUCAUCGCGUGCAACGACAACACCAGCGGUGCGAGUGCGUGCGUGCGCGCGCGCGUGUCAGUGGCACGAGAGCAGUGUGCAAGCAGGCUGUGCAAGCCCGGCAAAUUCAGUGACAAGUGCGGAAAAGGGGCUGUUGUGAAGUCGUUUCGACGACGACGUCCUCGUCGUCGUCGUCGUUGUUGUCGUCGACGCUGGUUCAGGAGGUGGUGUCCGUGGCGGUGACAACUGCAGCGGGAGCUGCAGCAGCAGCAGCAGCUUGAGCAGGACGGUGCACAGGUGCCCGAGCAGCAGGCGCUGGAAAUGGUGGCGUAGCGACGCCCGACGCCGCCGGUCGCCAUGUUAUUGGCGCAUGCCAGUGCCAAGCGCGAAGCAGACCUGCCCCUCCCCCUCAACCUGAAGGCAGAGGUGAGCGUUGGUGUCUCGGCGGCAGUGGCUUCCGUAUAGUGCGCUCGCCGUCUCCCUGUACCCACAGUGAGUAGUAUAGAGGAAGCGGAAAGGUCGAUGAAUGCAGCAGCAGUGUUCUGGGAUCUUCGGAUUCUCUCUCCC